This 764-nucleotide non-coding RNA is filed under the name Pongo abelii (Sumatran orangutan). Lineage: Eukaryota; Metazoa; Chordata; Mammalia; Primates; Hominidae. The record is from RNAcentral.
CCAAGGGCCGCGCCGGGGUUCUGCACUGUCACUGCGCUGCGGUUCCCCGCCCUAGGGAUUCUCACACGGUUCCACGGCUCCGGGCCCGGCAGCACCGCAGCCAUCUUGCGAGGCGGGGUGACUUAAGAAAGACGGAGCUACGCGAGAGCACGUCGAGCGACCGGAGUCUGGAACAGUUCCUCCUUCUUUCUCUGGCUCUGGAUCUGCAUCCCUGACAGUCUUAAAGAGGACAGACCUUUCAUUCAUGAGGAUGACCCUCAACUUGGCCCAGUCGAUGUUUCCUCAGACUCAAGCCUUGCAUUCUUGGCAGAAAGACUGAAGAAAUGAUGCUGUGCUCUUCUCAGUGCUUCACGUCAGGAGGCUCUACUCUCUCAACUGGCCCCACUAUUGACGCAGUCUCAUCCUGUCACCCGGGCUGGAGUGCAAUGGCGCGAUCUCGGCUCACUGCAACCUUCACCUCCUGUGUUCAAACGAUUCUCCUGCCUCAGCCUCCCAAGUAGCUGGGAUUACAAGCACCUGCCACCAUGCCCAGCUAAUUUUUGUAUUUUUAGUAGAGAUGGGGUUUCACCAUGUUGGCCAGGCUGGUCUCGAACUCCUGACCUCGUGAUCCGCCCACCUUGGCCUCCCAAAGUUCUGGGAUUACAGGCGUGAGCCACUGUGCCCUGCCGAGACUGUUAAGAUUUUAUUGCCCUAGUACCAGCAGUUACAAUGUUCCAUAGAACUCAUAGCUGAGCCCAUGCCAGGGAUUCCCCAGCUCACUGAAG